CCUACGGGUGGCAGCAGUGAGGAAUAUUGGUCAAUGGCCGAGAGGCUGAACCAGCCAAGUCGCGUGAGGGAAGACUGUCCUAUGGAUUGUAAACCUCUUUUGUCAGGGAGCAAAGUCACCCACGUGUGGGUGUUGGAGAGUACCUGGAGAAAAAGCCACCGCUAACGCCGUGCCCGCCGCCGCGGUAAUACGGAGGAUGCGCACGUUAUCCGGAUUUGUUGGGUUUAAAGGGUGCGUAGGCGGGUUAUCAAGUCAGCGGUAAAAUCGUGGAGCUCAACUCCAUCCAGCCGUUGAAACGGGUGAUCUUGAGUGGGCGAGAAGUAUGCGGAAUGCGUGGUGUAGCGGUGAAAUGCAUAGAUAUCACGCAGAACUCCGAUUGCGAAGGCAGCAUACCGGCGCCCGACUGACGCUGAAGCACGAAAGCGUGGGUAUCGAACAGGAUUAGAUACCCCUGUAGUC
Molecule: ribosomal RNA, 459 nt
Filed under: uncultured bacterium
Lineage: Bacteria
Description: partial 16S ribosomal RNA
Rfam family: Bacterial small subunit ribosomal RNA
Source: RNAcentral